CCUCUGAAGGAUGAUGAAGUCAUUGCCUAUCUCCUUGCUGGUCUCGGACCAGAUUAUGACUCCUUUGUCACAUCGAUGACUACCAAAAGUGAGUCUCUUACACUUGAUGAUGUAUUCUCUCAUCUCAUGUCUUUUGAAG
Small nucleolar RNA from Panicum hallii, 139 nucleotides. RefSeq annotates it as small nucleolar RNA Z247. NCBI's taxonomy places the organism in Eukaryota, Viridiplantae, Streptophyta, Magnoliopsida, Poales, Poaceae. The record is from RefSeq and is a predicted model, not a curated record. The transcript has a single exon.